AGGUUAUAGACAUCCUCUUUGUAGCCCUUGUUGACAGUUAUAAAUUCACUGCUGAUCUACGAGAAAAGCAGCUGAAUCAAUUAACACACAGAUCACAGAUGUUGCCUUGCACCGAGGGGAAGGGUAAACAUGAAGAGAAACCUGUAUCAUUGCCUGAUGAAUGUAUAGACCUGAUUAAGCAAUUGCUGAAAUCCUCAGCACCUGCAUUUGUUCCGGA
Molecule: long non-coding RNA, 217 nt
Organism: Ylistrum balloti
Lineage: Eukaryota; Metazoa; Mollusca; Bivalvia; Pectinida; Pectinidae
Exons: 3
Source: RefSeq, a predicted model, not a curated record